GAAAUAGAAAAUAAAUAUCUAUCGAGUAAUAUUACAGAAUAUAUUGAUACGCAUGCGAUAGCCCUUUCGCACGCACACAGAGAUACACAUUAUCACGCUCGCACAUUCACUCUUCGGUAACUGUAAACACAACAAUAAUGUGUAAGGUUGCGAAACCGUCUUUUGUGCCAGGUUAUGAGCUGUUUUGCUCGCAUGCCUCUGUCAACUGUCGUGUUCGCCACACUGUUUACUGGUUGCUGUGGUGAAGGCCAGAAGCAGACGUACAGUUCACGCGCCCUGAGUCUGCUAGUCGCGGAUUUCACAUUCAGCUGAUUCACCGCCGACAUAAAAUAUAACCGUUUCUUGUGAAUCAUGGGCUUUUCAAUGUCAAAGUCUGAAAAGCCCAAGACAAAUCUUGCUCUUCAUUCACACCAUGUACAACCUGUGGGUAUUUCUUCCAAUCAGCCACAACAGCAACAGCCUCAUCAACAACAACAGCAUCACCAAAACCAGCAACUUCAACAA
Pomacea canaliculata is the source of this 504-nucleotide long non-coding RNA. RefSeq lists it as uncharacterized. The record is from RefSeq and is a predicted model, not a curated record. The transcript has 3 exons. Lineage: Eukaryota; Metazoa; Mollusca; Gastropoda; Architaenioglossa; Ampullariidae.